UACGGAGGGGGCCAGCGUUGUUCGGAAUUAUUGGGCGUAAAGGGCGCGUAGGCGGUCGGGUAAGUCUGACGUGAAAUCCCUUGGCUCAACCAAGGAACUGCGUCUUAAACUGCCCGGCUUGAGUCCGGGAGAGGGUAGUGGAAUUCCCAGUGUAGCGGUGAAAUGCGUAGAUAUUGGGAGGAACACCGGUGGCGAAGGCGGCUACCUGGACCGGUACUGACGCUGAGGCGCGAAAGCGUGGGGAGCAAACAGG
Molecule: ribosomal RNA, 253 nt
Filed under: uncultured bacterium
Lineage: Bacteria
Description: partial 16S ribosomal RNA
Rfam family: Bacterial small subunit ribosomal RNA
Source: RNAcentral